AUUGAACGCUGGCGGCAUGCUUUACACAUGCAAGUCGAACGGCAGCGCGGGCUUCUUCCUGGCGGCGAGUGGCGAACGGGUGAGUAAUACAUCGGUACGUGCCCAGUAUUUGGGGAUAGCUCGGCGUAAGCCGGAUUAAUACCGCAUACGACCUUAUGGUGAAAGCGGGGAAUCUUCGGACCUCGCCCUUUUUGAGCGGCCGAGGGCAGAUUAGCUAGUUGGUGUGGUAAAGGCCUACCAAGGCGACGAUCUGUAGCUGGUCUGAGAGGGGGACCUGCCACACUGGGACUGAGACACGGCCCAGACUCCUACGGGAGGCAGCAGUGGGGAAUGUUGGACAAUGGGCGAAAGCCUGAUCGAGCAAUGCUGCGUGUGUGAUGAAGGCCUUCGGGUUGUAAAGCACUUUUGGCGGGAAAGAAAAGGAGUGUGAGAAUACCACGGUUCGAUGACGGUACCCAAAGAAAAAGCACCGGCUAACUACGUG
This 484-nucleotide ribosomal RNA is filed under the name uncultured bacterium. Its description in RNAcentral is "partial 16S ribosomal RNA". It matches the Rfam family "Bacterial small subunit ribosomal RNA", at positions 30 to 507 of the family's 1533-position model. The record is from RNAcentral.